RNAcentral lists this ribosomal RNA (120 nucleotides) under uncultured bacterium. Its description in RNAcentral is "partial 16S ribosomal RNA". It matches the Rfam family "Bacterial small subunit ribosomal RNA", at positions 28 to 156 of the family's 1533-position model. The record is from RNAcentral.
GAUGAACGCUGGCGGCGUGCUUAACACAUGCAAGUCAAGGGGGCCCAGCAAUGGGCAACCGGCGAACGGGUGCGUAACACGUGAGCAACCUACCGAAUUGUGGGGGAUAGCCGGCCCAAC